GCGNCUUAACAUGCAAGUUCGAGCGGAAAAGGCCCCUUCGGGGUACUCGAGCGGCGAACGGGUGAGUAACACGUUGGGCAACCUGCCCUCAGCUCUGGGAUAACUCCGGGAAACCGGGGCUAAUACCGGAUACGACCUUCCCUCGCNUGGGGGUUGGUGGAAAGUUCUUCGGCUGAGGAUGGGCCCGCGGCCUAUCAGCUUGUUGGUGGGGUGAUGGCCUACCAAGGCGACGACGGGUAGCCGGCCUGAGAGGGCGACCGGCCACACUGGGACUGAGACACGGCCCAGACUCCUACGGGAGGCAGCAGA
This 309-nucleotide ribosomal RNA is filed under the name Micromonospora sp. CNF-10. RNAcentral describes it as "bacterial SSU rRNA". It matches the Rfam family "Bacterial small subunit ribosomal RNA", at positions 54 to 354 of the family's 1533-position model. The record is from RNAcentral. Lineage: Bacteria; Bacillati; Actinomycetota; Actinomycetes; Micromonosporales; Micromonosporaceae.